CCGGAUGGGCAGUUGAGGAGGAAGCGGAGCAGCCGCGGGGACUUUCUUUCAGGCGGCGAGGCCGCGGAGGGCGCGGGGUGGAGGGUACGAGCGCGCGGAAAGGAAUGAAGAACGCACCUGGCAGCUGAGGAUCGUGGCCGUUUCUAGAGGCGCCUGAGCCGCGUGCGCAGGCGUGGAGCGUCCGGGCGGGGGCGGGCCCUUAAAGGGGCCGCAGCGGAGGAUCCGGGAGUCCGCGGAGAACCCGGGCCCGCGGCGCUAUGGCUCACGUCGGCUCUCGCAAGCGCUCGAGGAGUCGCAGCCGGUCCCGGGGGCGAGGGUCGGAAAAGAAAAGGAAGAAGAGCAGUAAGGACGCCCCGAGAAGCUGCUCGGCUUCUAGAUCCCGAAGCCGCAAGGCCAGCACCACCUCCUCUGGGGCGGAGGCCUCACCUUCUCCCUGCGUCACAGAGAGAAGCAAACACAAGGCCCGGAGGAGACCACGAUCCAGCCCCUCCUCCUCUCCUUCCAGUUCUUCCAGCUGCUCUUCCUCCAGCGAUGGCCGGAAGAAGCGGGGGAAGCACAAGGACAAGAAGAGGAAGAAAAAGAAGAAAAGGAAGAAGAAGCUGAAGAAGAGGGACAAGGAUAAGGCCAAGGUGCAGCAGACCGAGGCUCUGCCCGGACCCUCGCUGGACCAGUGGCACAGAGCAGCCGAGGAGGACGAGGACGGCCCAGUCCUGACGGACGAGCAGAAGUCCCGCAUCCAAGCCAUGAAGCCCAUGACCAAGGAGGAGUGGGAUGCCCGGCAGAGCGUCAUCCGCAAGGUGGUGGACCCGGAGACAGGACGCACCAGGUGGGAAGCCGGGCCCCACGGCGGCACCUGGGCGCCCUGGUCCCAGACCGGCACUCAGGAGGAGAGGUGGUGGCAGCUUCUGCUGCUCUAAAAGGACCGAGGAUGAGGGAGAAAAAGGAGUCACUCGUUGAUGGGACUUCUCAGGCCAUUGCUGCCCAUUCCUCAGAGCAGGCGACUGCAGGGGCUGGAAGGGCCUUGGGCGGGGGUCUUCAAAGAGCCGCUGUUGGCUGGUCCGAUGGCAGAGCCCACCGGGCCGCCCUCAUCCUUGUCCCAAGGGUGGGAGGGAGGGGUGGGAGCGGCCAGGCUCCGCCUACUCGAGAUGGUGGGGGCCUGAGGCCUGGCACCCCUCUGCUGGAUGCUUCUGGUUCUGUUGCUCUGGCCUCUAAGUUAGAGGCUCAGCCUCCCUCCCCUCCUCUAGGCUCAUUAAGGGAGACGGUGAGGUCUUAGAGGAAAUCGUAACCAAGGAACGACACAGAGAGAUCAACAAGCAAGCCACCCGAGGGGAUGGUCUGGCCUUCCAGAUGCGAGCAGGGCUGCUGCCC
Molecule: RNA transcript, 1368 nt
Organism: Aethalodelphis obliquidens (Pacific white-sided dolphin)
Lineage: Eukaryota; Metazoa; Chordata; Mammalia; Artiodactyla; Delphinidae
Gene: ARL6IP4
Gene name: ARF like GTPase 6 interacting protein 4
Exons: 5
Source: RefSeq, a predicted model, not a curated record